GACGAAGGGGGCUAGCGUUGUUCGGAAUUACUGGGCGUAAAGCGAGUGUAGGUGGUUGUCCAAGUUGGAUGUGAAAGCCUUGAGCUCAACUCAAGAAAUGCAUUCAGGACUGGGCGGCUAGAGGACCGGAGAGGAUAGUGGAAUUCCAGGUGUAGCGGUGAAAUGCGUAGAUAUCUGGAGGAACACCGGUGGCGAAGGCGGCAUCCUGGACCGGCAUUGACGCUGAGGCGCGAAAGCCAGGGGAGCAAACGGG
This 253-nucleotide ribosomal RNA is filed under the name uncultured bacterium. RNAcentral's name for it is "partial 16S ribosomal RNA". It matches the Rfam family "Bacterial small subunit ribosomal RNA", at positions 524 to 776 of the family's 1533-position model. The record is from RNAcentral.